This 257-nucleotide long non-coding RNA is filed under the name Elaeis guineensis (African oil palm). Its description in RNAcentral is "long non-coding RNA (EGUI_LNC046494)". The record is from RNAcentral. Lineage: Eukaryota; Viridiplantae; Streptophyta; Magnoliopsida; Arecales; Arecaceae.
CUCCCCAUGCCAUGUCCAACAAGUAUACUUCUUGUCCAUAUCAUAUUGUAGCAAACACUUCUCAACAAGUGUUAUGUGAUGAUAUACCAUAUUGACACAUCUCUUACAUGGAUACUUUAUUUGACUAGCACUGUCAGCUUUAUGCCGUGCAAAGUCAAUGAAAUCUCGAACUCCUUUUCGAUAUUCAGAUAAAAAAAUACCUCUAGCAUUCAUCCAACUUUUUUUGAUAUUCAUCUAACAAUAAACACAAAAUCAUU